Molecule: long non-coding RNA, 206 nt
Organism: Eucalyptus grandis
Lineage: Eukaryota; Viridiplantae; Streptophyta; Magnoliopsida; Myrtales; Myrtaceae
Exons: 3
Source: RefSeq, a predicted model, not a curated record
GAAUGUGCUUUAUGUGGAGGCAACACUGGUGCUUUUAGGAAAUGCAAAGAUGGUAAAUGGGUCCAUGCCUUCUGUGCUGAGUGGGUCUUUGAAGCUACCUUCACAAGAGGACAAGUAAAUCCAGUCGAAGGAAUGGAUUCAAUUCCAAAAGGUGUUGAUGAGUGUAAUGUGUGCCACCAUAGAUAUGGUGUCAGCAUAAAGGGGAA